AAACAAAAAGCAGUGUGGUGACAAUAGGUCACAAUAGGCAGCAGAGGGGUAGUUUAGGUGGGGCUCCAGAGAGAAGUUUCAUAUUUCAGAUGAGGUUGAGAAUGGAAAAGCGGAUUACUGCUGAGCCCCUCAUCUCUGAGCCCUGAUCACUUGAGCUGGCAUCAAGGGCUGUGUGACCGGCAAGUAGCACCCCCAUUCUUUCCUAGGUGUCCCCUGGGUUGCUCUGGGGCAAACAGUGGGCCAAUACAGGAACUCAGCUCACCCACAGUGCUAGAGGGACUUGGGAAUGUGGAGCAGCUUGUGAGAUGUGGUCUGGGAAGUGUGGAGGAGCUACAAAGUGCCAUCUUGAUAAAAGAGUUCAUAACAAAGAAGUAUAUGCACAAAGGAUGAUAGAUAAUGUGAAUAAGAUGUCACUUUACUCACAGUUGAGCCAAGCCUCGAUGAUUCCAGUGCAAGUCUACUAACAAGGUGAAACCCACACCUAAGAGCCUACCAUGUGAACACAGGAAACAGUAGCAGAGCUUUUCGCAUGGACUUGUCCUUUAGCCCAUGGGAAUUCUGAUCCAGGUAAAGCACAGAACAUCCACAAUCUCCUAGUCUUACCAACCUAAAAACCAUGUGGUCUACUUUGGAGAGGAGGAGGAGGACUGGGCGUGGGGGUCAGGUGUGGAGAAAACUAUGGAAAUAUUAGCUCCCCAUGGACAGAGAUAGGAAGGAAAAAGAAGGAACUAAAAGUUCCAGGACAGGGAAUCCCAAGUACAUAACUAGACAGAGAGUCUAAUACUCUAUGUGAUCUUCAUUUUACAGAAGAAACUCAGUUACAGAGGUGUGACUUUGCCCUAAGCUCUACCACAAGUGUAAAAGUACAUGAGUUAUCUCUGACUACCACCUGACUCUCACCUCCCUUCACUGCUCCGUGCUACUUCUCUCUCCUAAGCUCCCCAUGCUGCCACCAAAUCUGACUGCUUUUCAGGCCCUUAAACACUUUCUGUACUUUUCUGUCUCUGGAUCUUUGAUGAUUUUCUUCCCUUCUCAUCUGUGUCAUAAUCUUAUGUAUCCUGCAAGAUGUAACAGAGAUACAACUUUUUUCUUUCUUUCUUUAUUAUUAUUUUUUUGGUACUGGG
RNAcentral lists this long non-coding RNA (1124 nucleotides) under Heterocephalus glaber (naked mole-rat). RNAcentral describes it as "lncRNA (ENSHGLG00100034154.1)". Lineage: Eukaryota; Metazoa; Chordata; Mammalia; Rodentia; Bathyergidae. The record is from RNAcentral.